GUCUGUUUCGCCUUCUUUUUGCGGGUCGCGCAUAUCGCGAUGAAUCUGCCUCUGAUGACUGUUUUGUGUGCUUCCCAGCUUGUCAGUGGGGUGACGUCGUCUGUCUCGUUGUCUGUGAAGUAAUCCUGUAUGUGGUGGUUGAUUUGGUCUACGACCGAGAUGUCUGAAAGAAUCGAUUCGUUCAGUCGCCACGACAUUUGUCUGGGUUUGUAU
Non-coding RNA from Pelobates cultripes (western spadefoot toad), 213 nucleotides. NCBI's taxonomy places the organism in Eukaryota, Metazoa, Chordata, Amphibia, Anura, Pelobatidae. The record is from the annotation of a GenBank genome assembly.